RNAcentral lists this ribosomal RNA (301 nucleotides) under uncultured bacterium. Its description in RNAcentral is "partial 16S ribosomal RNA". It matches the Rfam family "Bacterial small subunit ribosomal RNA", at positions 509 to 807 of the family's 1533-position model. The record is from RNAcentral.
CAGUAGCCGCGGGAAUACAGAGGGUGCGAGCGUUAAUCGGAUUUACUGGGCGUAAAGCGUGCGUAGGUGGUGGUUUAAGUCCGUUGUGAAAGCCCUGGGCUCAACCUGGGAAUUGCAGUGGAUACUGGGUCACUAGAGUGUGGUAGAGGAUAGUGGAAUUUCCGGUGUAGCAGUGAAAUGCGUAGAGAUCGGAAGGAACAUCUGUGGCGAAGGCGACUAUCUGGGCCAACACUGACACUGAGGCACGAAAGCGUGGGGAGCAAACAGGAUUAGAUACCCCAGUAGUCCCUGUCUCUUAUAC